AUAAACCAACCUCUUAUUCAUACAAGUCAAAAUCAUUUAUUCGAAUCACAUAUCUAACCACACAUAUCAUGCCUUAUCGAACAUUCUCUUAUAUGAACUAUAUUUCAAUAUCUAACCAUUUCAAUUACGUUUGCUAAUUCAAAACUUUCAAGCCAAGCCAUCAAAUAUCAAAACCAAACUAAAUAACAAACGUAAUAUUUAAUAAAAAUUAUACAUACACCUGUUAAACUAAUUUAGCCAUAUCUCACAGUUUAAUAACCAUUUGCACAUAAAACGUUAGGUAACUUUAUACAUGACCAACUAAGUUUUUUUUUACAUCAUCCAACCAUGUGCAUAACACCCUAAAACCAAAAGUCAUUUCUAAAUUCAAUUACCAAAUCAUAGCAUUUUAAACAUUAUAACCUUAUGUACAUUUUACUAAAUCAAAUUUAACCAUUUUCGAAUACAAAUGCCAAGUCAUAAAAUAUCUAAUUUGCAAGCUAAAUAGCAUAUCUAACAUGUUAUAUUCAACCACACACAUGAACCCCAUACCUAAUUCGCAUGCGAAUUAUCAUGCCUAUAAUUCAUAUACACAACCAAUUAAUAUUUUCAAUAAUCAAUCAUUCAAUUAACCUCCAUAUCAAUUAGAUCAUAUACAUUCUUUGUCAUUCAAAAAUCGAGCCUAAAUAGUCAAAUACCAUAGCCGAACAUAUAACUACCUAUAUAUAUAACACAUUUUAUAACCAUCAUUGAAUCAAUGAUUUGACCUUUUUAAAACGAAACUACAAGCAAACAUUAAAUAGGCAUAUGUAUUCAUAUCUCAAAUGUCCAACAAUUUAAAAAAAUAACCUUUCGGUUAUCAAAUUUAACUCAAUAAAUCAUAACAUCUCCAUCACCCAGUCUAUAAGAUAAACAUAGUAUCUCAUAUCUUAACAUCAAAACAAUAUGUCAUUUAUAGAUAUUCAAAUGACCCCUUUUACCAAACCAUAUUAUACCACUUUUCAUGCCACCAAAGUAAGUUAAUUAAUAAGCCGAAUAUAUACCCUACUUACCACUUCUCAUUGCCAAAUCAUAUAACCAACAUCACAACAUAUUUACCAUAAAUCAUACCUCUCAAUUAAGCUUAUAACAUGACCAAAAAUAAUUGCCAACAUUUGCAUCAUGAACAAGCCAUUUUCGCAUGGCUAUAUACAUAUACAAAUUUCAAAAAUCAAAUAUAUCAAAACUAGCCUAUACAUGCCACAUAACCAAAUCUCAAAGCGUUUAUUUACCGAAAUGAAUACGGGAUAGUGUGAUGAGAUCUCCCAAGACUUCCAACCAGAGCAAGUCUCCGAAACUCUAUAACAUAGGAAAAACACACAGAGUAAGCUUUGAAAGCUUAGUAAGCCAUAAGCAAAUAAAUCAUUCCAAUAAUGUUUAUAAUUCAAUUUAACUAAGCUGAAUUUAAAAAAAAAUCUCAACCACAUAUACAUUCAUCAUAAUCUCAAUUUCUUAAGACCACACUAGGUAACUUCACUAGAGUUAAUUAUGGAUGGACAUAUAAACCGUUUUUUUCAAAUUUAUAUAUCUACCAUUAGCUCAUUCGUAGGGUUAAGCUUCCACAAUUUCAUUACAUACCAACCGAAUCAUGAUCAUUUAUUACAAUUUAUUCGUAAAAAAUAUAUCAAUUUCUUUUUAUACACUUCCAAGCCCGAAUAAGCAUAACAAUUCACAUCUCAUUUUCACAUAAAUUAUAUAACGAAUAAUCAUAAUCAUACUUACUUUCAUUGCUCAAAUUCAUAUUCAUCACAAACAUACCUGAUUCGGCUGCACACUCAUAUACUCAUUUAUUUCUCGGAAUACCCCGUUGAACCGUUCAGAAUCAAAUAGGAUACUUGGAUAGCUCAAAAAAAAAAUCGUACAAUGCCAACGUCCCAGACGUGGUCUUACAUGUAAUCAAUAUCGAUGCCACUGUCCCAGACAGGGUCUUACACGAAAUCAAAUAUGAUGUCGAUGUCCCAGACAUGGUCUUAUACAUAAAUCUCAAAUCGAUGCCAACGUCCCAGACGUGGUCUUACACGAUAACAUAUAUCGGAAUCCUAUGUCAUGACAUAUGUAUCCUAACUAUUCCUAUGGUUCGUACGGGGCUUUUCAGACGUCGUAAUUCUAUUGAUUCAAGCUCGUAACUAGUUCUCCAACUCUAAAUUCAAUUCAGCAUAUGCACAUAUAUUUAUUAAAGAUAAAUUCAGCACAUAUAACAUAUAUACAUUCAAAUUUAACAGCAUUUAUUUACUUAUGAACUUACCUCGUACGAACGCGAACGGACCGGAACGACUAAUCGAUAACUUCCGAUUUUCCCGAUCCAAGUCCGAUUUCCACUUUUUCCAAUCUAAUUAAUAUCAAAUUUAACUUAAUUAUUCAACAUUUCAUUAAAUUUUCAUUCAAGAACAUAUAAAUGGAAAUUUGCAUUUUAGCCCCUAACAUUUUGCAUUUUUCUCAAUUUAGUCCUUAUUUCAAAAUAACAUAAAAUACACAAAAUUUCACUAAAUCCUUGUUAGGCCGAAUUCUACCCAUACUACUAGCAGCCCAUAUUUUUAGUUUAUUCACACAUUUAACCUUGAAUUUGUACACUUUUCUCAAUUUAAUCCUUAAUACACAUUUUUAUCAAAAAUCACUUAAUUAAACAUAAUAAUCUAUCAACAAAAGUUUAUAUUUCAUCAUCAAACCACAAAAACAUCAAGCUAACAUCAAUGGCAAAUUUCAAAAUCAUCACCAAUUCACAAAAUUGAAGCAUGGGCUUUAAAGAACACAAAGCAACGAUCUCAAAAACGUAAAAAUUAUCAAAAACCGAACAAAGAACUAACCUUAAUCAAAAUUCAAAAUGGCCGAACCCUUAGCUUGUUCUUUCCUUUUUCUUUUCUUUUACAUUCGGUUAGUAGAAACAAAAGAAAUGAUAAUGGCUUUUUAACUUAUGUUUGUUUUCUUAUUAUAAUAACUUUAUAAUAUAUUAUUUAUUAUUAUAACCUUUAUAAUUACUAUAAAAACUAUAUAAUAUAUACAUAGUGCCGUCCAUUCAUUAAUUCAAUGGCAAAAUUGCAACAUGAAACCUUCAUAUUAAAAGAACAACCACUAUUUGGCCUUUCUAAAAAUAACCACUAAAUUUUUAUUUUACUCGAUUAAGCCCUAUUCUCAAAUUAAGCACUUAAACAAUAAAAUUAAUUCACGAAACUUUCACAUAUAUAAAUUCACACAUAAUAAACACAGAAAAAAAAAUAUUAAAAUAUUUUUCAGACUCGGAUGUGUGGUCCCGAAACCACUGUUCCGAUUUGGGUCAAAAUCGGGCUAUUACAACUCUCCCCCACUUAGGGAUUUUCGUCCUCGAAAAUCUUACAGGUGAGUAGGUGUGGGCAACGUUCUUUCAUUGCAUCCUCUGGUUCUCAGGUUGCUUCCUCAACUCCGUGUUUAUGCCACAGUACUUUGGCUAACAAAAUUUUCUUAUUUCGUAAUUCUUUAACCUCACGAGCCAGAAUGCUAAUCGGUUCUUCUUCAUAUGACAUAUUAGACUUAAUUUCAAUCUCGGUCAAACUGGUCACAUGCGAAGGAUCGGAUCAGUAUCUAUGAAGCAUCGAAACAUGGAAUACAUUAUGAAUCUUUUCUAGUUCAGGUGGCAACAACAGUCUAUAAGCAACCGACCCGAUAUGCUCUAUAAUCUCAUAUGGUCCAAUGAAUCGCGGACUCAAUUUGCCUUUACGACCAAAUCUGAGUAUUUUCUUCCACAUUCAAAAAGACUUUAUCUUCGAUCUGAAAUUCUAUAUCCUUUCUUUUCAAGUCUGUAUAUGAUUUCUGACAAUCCGAUGCUAUUUUCAGACUAUCACGAAUCACUUUCACUUUCUGUUCAGUCUCUUUAAUCAAAUCGACCCCGUGUAUCUUAUUUUCUCUGAGCUCGGUCUAAUACAAUGGUGUACAACAUUUAAGACUGUAUAAAGCCUCGUAAAGUGCCAUUUUGAUACUAGAUUGAAAGCUAUUAUUAUAUGCAAAUUCAAUCAAAGGUAAGUAUUGAUCCUACGUACCUUCAAACUCGAGAACGCAACAUCUCAACAUAUCCUCAAGUAUCUGAAAGAUUCGUUCAGAUUGACCAUCUAUUUGCGGAUGGAAAGCUGUGCUAAAGUGUAGUUUCAUACCUAAAACAUCUUGCAGUUUCUUCCAAAAUCACGAUGUGAACCUCGGGUCUCUGUCUGAAACAAUAGAAAUAGGUACUCUAUGCAAUCUCACAAUCUGAGAAACAUAUAAUUCAGACAGCUUAUCAAGUGAAUAUUCUGUACAAACCGAAAUAAAGUGUGUUGAUUUAGUCAAUCUAUCCACAAUAACCCAGAUUGCAUCUUUCUUACUCCGUGUCAACAGUAAACUAGAUACAAAAUCCAUUGUAACUCUAUCCCACUUCCACUCGGGUAUCAUAAUCGGCUAAAGUAACCUAGAAGGUACUUGAUGCUCUACUUUCACUUGUUGACAAACUAAACAUUUCGAAAUAAAGUCAGAAAUAUCUCGUUUCAUACCAUGCCACCAAUAAAGCUAUUUCAGAUCAUUAUAUAUUUUUGUACUACCCGGGUGAACAGAUAAUCAACUAUUAUAAGCUUCGUUCAAAAUCAUAUGAAUCAACUUUGAAUUCUUCGGAACACAUAUUCAGUUUCUAAACCUCAAACAAUCAUUGGUAUCAACUCGAAACUCUGUUACACCACUCGAUUCACAUUGAGCUCGUUUUGCUAACAAAUCAUUAUCAACUUUCUGAGCAUCACAAAUUUGUUGAACAAAUAACGGUCUAGCUUUUAAUUCAGCUAUUAUCGAACCAUCAUUGGACAUAGUCAUAUGCGCAUUCAUUGCUCGCAAAGAAAACAACGAUUUUUUUUUUUACUUAAAGCAUCAGCAACAACAUUAGCCUUUCCCAGAUAAUAGUCAAGUACAAGCUCGUAGUCUUUUAACAACUCUAAGCAUCGACGUUGUCUUAAAUUCAGAUCUUUUUGAGUCAUCAAAUAUGACACAUAACUCUUUUCAUAUAGCUUUAACUAUAUGGAAUCAUAAGAUAUCUCUGUACACUCUUCUAUUAGAACACACUUCAAACCGUUCAUUGACACAUUACUGAGAAUCGUAAACUUUUUAUUCAAGUUAGGCUGAACGAGUACUGAUGUUUCGGUUGACAAUAUCUUCGUGCAAAAAGGAAAACUUCAACAAUCGAACUAACUUUAAUUUACUACAACAUUUCCCAGAUAGAAUCGUUUUGAUAGAUAUAAUUCUAUAUCAAAUCUUCAAUAAUACAAAUUCUUCUUCCAAACUAUCCCUCAAUUCACAUAUGUACGUUCAAAGUUUAUUUCCAGUCUAGUGGAUAGAUUCAAACACAUAUAACCCAAUUAUCUUUUCAAUCAAAUAAUUCAAAUCAGACUAAACCGCUGAAUCAGACUUUCGAAGAAAUCUUUUCUUCUCGUUAAAAGGAUAGCCCCAAAUAUAUCAUUUUCCAGAUUUGAUCUUGAUCUUCUAUCAUUUUCACUUUUGCCGAUGUCAAACCUUUUACGAGAACUAGAAAAGAGUUUAUGAUAAAGCUGUCUCACAUUUUAAUCAUCGAAGUUCUGAAUUAUACUGAAUUCACCUUUAUCAAAUAGAAAUCAUUGGGCCUUAAGGAGAACGAUGUCUCAACCCUAUAAAUAGAUAUUAUCCUGGCUGUUAAUAAAGCAUUUGAACACAGAAGAAAAUCAAAUAUGGUUUAAACAGCAACCAAUUCAAAAACACAACUUCUAUAACUCUGAUAACAGUACUGCAGUACUCCCAUAUUUCAAAACAAAAAUUAUAAUAGAUAUAACCAUUUCCGUCAAAUGGAUAUCUCUUAUAGAAAAUCACAUAGAAUCAUAAGAAAACCAGGAUAGCGGAAUUUCAACAUAUGAAGCUACACAUGAUAUCUGGAAAUUACAGCCCAUAUAAAAUGAUAACAAUUCCGAUGAUAUCCCAGAAAAUUUCUAAAAAGAACAAACUCAUUCAUAAAUACUGAGAUCCACAGUAACAGAAGUAAUAUAAUCUUCACGUAUAUUCAACAGAACAUUAACCAGUAGAAAUAGAAUAUUAGCCUCAUACAGAUUUUACCGUCGACUUUCAUAUCCACACAAUGGAAUAAAUACUAGAGAAAGACGGAGCAAUGUCAAACAUAACCCAAACAGACCUACGAUGCUUUUGUCUAUUAGUAUGUUUAACUAAUAUUCUUACACGAUAAGAAUUCCUUCUAAAAUUAAACAGUCACAUAUACUUCUGGGGAUAAAUGUACACAUAGAAUGCUCAGAAGAAAUCAUAGUAACUGUUCGAAUAUAACCACUGCACUCAGCCAUCAAUACCAUUCAAACAUUAUUCAACUGUCUAAUUCUGUCAUCAUUAAGUCCAUAUUAUCCCAUCAAUAACAAAAAUCAAUUUCAAAGAACUUUCAGUUAAUACCUUUCUAUAUAUAUAUCAAACCUGAAUAGUUUUAUUUCAUCAAAUUCCACUUCUUCGUUAAAAGCGACUUUGCAUAAUACGAAUGGCCAUUAAAACGAUUCAAUAUCUCUUAUAGCACUGUCUCAAUUUGCUGACCCAUUCUCUUAUCUGACCACAUUAGUAAUCUUUCAAACACAAACCUCUGUAACUCCACACUUGUGAGCUUAUUCGAUCCAAAUCUUACAGAUUUCAUUGUAAUAUUUUACUGAUAAGGGGUGAGGGUAGUAAAGCCUCAAAUUUAACUCGGACAUAAAUGCACAUAACACAUACUAUUACAAAUAGCCAAUUUAUUAACAAUUUCACAUUCUCCAAACAUUUACUAAACAUUUGCUUAUAUUCACUUUUGUUCUUAACACAUUAUUCAUAUACCAAUUCAAAUCACUAACUCACAAUCAAAGCAUUUCAGAUACCAAUCGUAACUCAAAUAUCAUAUCUCAUAUGCUCAUAUAAGUACAACAUUUAUCAAUAACAACAUGUCAUACAAUUUGGUCCUUACCUUUAUGAGUUUCUACUCAUAAUCAACACAUUUUCACUCAAACAUUUGAGUAUUUACUUUUGUACUAUCAGAAUUAGCUCGGUUGGAAAAACACAUCUGUCUCACCAAAACAAUUUUCGUCAGAGUCGGGAGAUAUCACACUAUCACAAGUUAUAUAUGGCAUGUAUAGCUAGACUUACAUUAGCUAUGUUAGUCCUAGAACCGACUAAACCAUAGCUCUGAUACCAAUAAAAUGUAACACCCCUAACCCGUGUCCGUCGCCGAACUAAGGUUACGAGGUAUUACCAAACAAAACACAGUUCAAAACAGACAUUCUUUACAAAUCAUAGGCCCAGUAAUGUAUUCUCCCUUAUAAAAUUUUUCGAAAUAAAUUGAUAAACCAACCUCUUAUUCAUACAAGUCAAAAUCAUUUAUUCGAAUCACAUAUCUAACCACACAUAUCAUGCCUUAUCGAACAUUCUCUUAUAUGAACUAUAUUUCAAUAUCUAACCAUUUCAAUUACGUUUGCUAAUUCAAAACUUUCAAGCCAAGCCAUCAAAUAUCAAAACCAAACUAAAUAACAAACGUAAUAUUUAAUAAAAAUUAUACAUACACCUGUUAAACUAAU
This 7568-nucleotide long non-coding RNA is filed under the name Gossypium barbadense (sea-island cotton). RNAcentral's name for it is "long non-coding RNA (GBAR_LNC015812)". The record is from RNAcentral. Lineage: Eukaryota; Viridiplantae; Streptophyta; Magnoliopsida; Malvales; Malvaceae.